This 255-nucleotide long non-coding RNA is filed under the name Salvia miltiorrhiza (redroot sage). Its description in RNAcentral is "long non-coding RNA (SMIL_LNC000253)". Lineage: Eukaryota; Viridiplantae; Streptophyta; Magnoliopsida; Lamiales; Lamiaceae. The record is from RNAcentral.
CGAGACAUUGUCCGCAGCUUCGACAAAGAUCAAUGGGCUCGUAGAUGGUGACGGUCGUCUCAAGAUAUUUUACCAUAGAAAUAUUCGAUUUUCCACAUAAAUCGGAACUACUCUUAAUGAAAUACAUUGUGGGGCACGUUCUCGUUAUGCGUUUGGCUGCUGUAUGUGUCCAAAUCAUCAAGACAUUUGUGGAUGUGGAGUAAUUUUUGUUUUUGUGGUAAUGCAAUUUUUGCUUCAUAAAUAGAGAGCUUGCUG